UAUAGCAAAUAGUGAACGGAGCACUCCUUAGGAGAUUUUCAAUCAUGUAUUUAAUAAAUAAUCAAGAUUACUUAAAUAAACAAUUGAAAAUUUCCUAAGGAGUGCUCUGUUCACUAUUUGAGAUA
This is a non-coding RNA of Pelobates cultripes (western spadefoot toad), 125 nucleotides long. The record is from the annotation of a GenBank genome assembly. Lineage: Eukaryota; Metazoa; Chordata; Amphibia; Anura; Pelobatidae.